RNAcentral lists this ribosomal RNA (234 nucleotides) under uncultured bacterium. RNAcentral describes it as "partial 16S ribosomal RNA". It matches the Rfam family "Bacterial small subunit ribosomal RNA", at positions 28 to 262 of the family's 1533-position model. The record is from RNAcentral.
GACGAACGCUGGCGGCGUGCUCAACACAUGCAAGUCGAGCGGUAAGGGCCCUUUCGGGGGUACACGAGCGGCGAACGGGUGAGUAACACGUGGGUGACCUGCCCUCAGCUCUGGGAUAAGCCUGGGAAACCGGGUCUAAUACUGGAUAUGACUCCAUGACGCAUGUUGUGGGGUGGAAAGCCUUGUGCGGCUGAGGAUGGGCCCGCGGCCUAUCAGCUUGUUGGUGGGGGNGAU